Molecule: non-coding RNA, 91 nt
Organism: Canis lupus familiaris (dog)
Lineage: Eukaryota; Metazoa; Chordata; Mammalia; Carnivora; Canidae
Source: Rfam
GGGGGAAGGUCGGAUCCUGGGCUGUGUCCCGGCGCCCUGUGCUUCGGGGCCUGCGCUGUUGGAUUCACGUUCCCGGGCCGCGCAGCCCCCU